Molecule: transfer RNA, 66 nt
Filed under: Urolabida sp. FS-2019
Lineage: Eukaryota; Metazoa; Arthropoda; Insecta; Hemiptera; Urostylididae
Description: tRNA-Asp
Source: RNAcentral
AGAAAAUUAGUUUAAAAAAAACAAUAAUUUGUCAAAUUAUAAAUAAAAUCUAAGUUUUAUUUUCUA